RNAcentral lists this unclassified non-coding RNA (398 nucleotides) under Mussaenda erythrophylla. RNAcentral describes it as "partial external transcribed spacer". RNAcentral also lists the same sequence under 1 other name. Lineage: Eukaryota; Viridiplantae; Streptophyta; Magnoliopsida; Gentianales; Rubiaceae. The record is from RNAcentral.
UUGAGCAACGACGUCCUCCUUUGCAUGCCUCUUCAUUCAUCUACCCAAGAGCAUUGUUAGCCUGGGGAAGAUGCGGGUUUCCUGUGUUGCAUACCUUUCAAAAGGAAUUCUUAUGUUAUCAAUGCUUAACAUUCGCCUUACGCUGCCCAGUGUUAGGUGAAUCCCUAUGCGCUGUCUGUGYUCCCGGCGAGUCACAUUAUGUGUAUUUGCACGGGCCCAUGGAUUGCCGCAUGAGCUCUUGAAUACAGAAUACCAAGACGGUACGAGGUCGUUGACCUCUAUGUGCCCGAAUUAAAGCGUCAAUCGCUACUACCGAACGACUGCUGUCGUUGUAUCGAGAUGGCAGACUCAUCGGGUCUUCUGUCCUCGUGCGACGCUGGCGUCUGUGAGGAAUGCUA